Molecule: long non-coding RNA, 183 nt
Organism: Bradysia coprophila
Lineage: Eukaryota; Metazoa; Arthropoda; Insecta; Diptera; Sciaridae
Source: RefSeq, a predicted model, not a curated record
CGGCCGACCAGAUCGGUGCACUUUCGUUGUCAUAUAUUCGAGUGGGUUACGUCUACACACAGACGUCACUGGGACGAACGGAGGUGUGUUCCAUAUUCAGGGCACCAAGACCAAUCCAACGCACUAUGCCACCAUCCGUGUACAUGACCUGUGUUGCCUAGUGUAAUUGAUCUUCUUCCACUG